AUUGAACGCUGGCGGCAUGCUUUACACAUGCAAGUCGAACGGCAGCGCGGGCUUCGGCCUGGCGGCGAGUGGCGAACGGGUGAGUAAUGCAUCGGAACGUGCCCAGUAGUGGGGGAUAGCCCGGCGAAAGCCGGAUUAAUACCGCAUACGACCUGAGGGUGAAAGCGGGGGACCGAAAGGCCUCGCGCUAUUGGAGCGGCCGAUGUCGGAUUAGCUAGUUGGUGGGGUAAAGGCUUACCAAGGCGACGAUCCGUAGCUGGUCUGAGAGGACGACCAGCCACACUGGGACUGAGACACGGCCCAGACUCCUACGGGAGGCAGCAGUGGGGAAUUUUGGACAAUGGGGGCAACCCUGAUCCAGCCAUGCCGCGUGCGGGAAGAAGGCCUUCGGGUUGUAAACCGCUUUUGUUCGGGAAGAAAUCCUCUGGGCUAAUACCCCGGGGGGAUGACGGUACCGGAAGAAUAAGCACCGGCUAACUACG
This 482-nucleotide ribosomal RNA is filed under the name uncultured bacterium. RNAcentral describes it as "partial 16S ribosomal RNA". It matches the Rfam family "Bacterial small subunit ribosomal RNA", at positions 29 to 505 of the family's 1533-position model. The record is from RNAcentral.